Episyrphus balteatus (marmalade hoverfly) is the source of this 847-nucleotide long non-coding RNA. RefSeq lists it as uncharacterized. Lineage: Eukaryota; Metazoa; Arthropoda; Insecta; Diptera; Syrphidae. The record is from RefSeq and is a predicted model, not a curated record. The transcript is spliced from 2 exons.
AUUCCUGUUAAUUGUGAUAACUCUGUGAAGGAAAAACAAAUUCAUAAACAAAAUCAAAGGAAACAAAAUAAAUAAACAUUUAAAACAUCUUUGUUUUGAAAAAAAAAGUAUAAUAAAAAGCUCAUAAAAAAUCUAGGAUUCCUAAAAAUAUGAUUAACUUGAUCUCUCUGGACAUUUUAUACGUUCGUAACGUUCUGUUUAAUGACCUCAUUGAGAUUUUUGUGUGUGUCUUAUGCGUGCUGCGUGCAUUUUGUCGAAAAUAGAAUUUUUCAAGCUGUGUGUCCUCUCGUCGUCGUCCACCCAGCAGAGCAGCACACCAACUCGUCUGCCACAAACGGCACAGAACAGAAAGUGUGUUGAAAUGCAGCACAAAGAGAGACACCGAGAAGAAAAAUAAUCAAAAAUAGGCCUUUUUCGACUUGAAUCAAAUGAGGAAACCCCUGUGUGUAGUUUGGUUGUGGUAGCGGCCCUAUAUCAAGAAGACUGGUGGAAUAAGUGAGUCAUCAAUUAGAAUGCAGUCGUAAGUGCGCACGUGAGCUAGAAGUUAGUCAUGCAUUAGAAUUUCUCGGUUGUUUUUCUUGUUGUUUUGUUUACUUUUAGGUUUGCCAAAGACAGAGUUACACCCACAGGGAUUGUAAAUUAUGCGUAAAUUCUAGGUUCAAGUCAAAGCAAAACAAGAAUAUUAUAAUAAUGCGUGAUAUUAAGGAAGCAAAUUCUUCUAUAGGCCUAUAUUAAAUUUAAUUCAUAGUUCAACUGAGUCGAAAAACGCCUCUUAAUUUUGCAUUAACGUCAUAAGUCAUGGAAAUUAGGCAGAAUUUAUAAAUAUUGUAAAAAUAAAAAAUGUUUA